This 500-nucleotide ribosomal RNA is filed under the name uncultured bacterium. Its description in RNAcentral is "partial 16S ribosomal RNA". It matches the Rfam family "Bacterial small subunit ribosomal RNA", at positions 30 to 523 of the family's 1533-position model. The record is from RNAcentral.
AUUGAACGCUGGCGGAAUGCUUUACACAUGCAAGUCGAACGGCAGCACGGACUUCGGUCUGGUGGCGAGUGGCGAACGGGUGAGUAAUGUAUCGGAACGUGCCCAGUCGUGGGGGAUAACGUAGUGAAAAUUACGCUAAUACCGCAUACGAUCUAUGGAUGAAAGCGGGGGAUCGCAAGACCUCGCGCGAUUGGAGCGGCCGAUAUCAGAUUAGGUAGUUGGUGGGGUAAAGGCCCACCAAGCCAACGAUCUGUAGCUGAUCUGAGAGGACGGCCAGCCCAACUGGAACUGAGACACGGUCCAGACUCCGACGGGAAGCAGCAGUGGGGAAUUUUGGACAAGGGGCGAAAGCCUGAUCCAGCCAUUCCGCGUGCAGGAUGAAGGCCCUCGGGUUGUAAACUGCUUUUGUACAGAACGAAAAGGUUUCUACUAAUACUAGGAGCUCAUGACGGUACUGUAAGAAUAAGCACCGGCUAACUACGUGCCAGCCGCCGCAGUAA